RNAcentral lists this ribosomal RNA (347 nucleotides) under uncultured bacterium. Its description in RNAcentral is "bacterial SSU rRNA". It matches the Rfam family "Bacterial small subunit ribosomal RNA", at positions 527 to 873 of the family's 1533-position model. The record is from RNAcentral.
GUAGGCCACAAGCGUUGUCCGGAAUUACUGGGUGUAAGGGGAGCGCAGGCGGGAAGACAAGUUGGAAGUGAAAUCUAUGGGCUCAACCCAUAAACUGCUUUCAAAACUGUUUUUCUUGAGUAGUGCAGAGGUAGGCGGAAUUCCCGGUGUAGCGGUGGAAUGCGUAGAUAUCGGGAGGAACACCAGUGGCGAAGGCGGCCUACUGGGCACCAACUGACGCUGAGGCUCGAAAGUGUGGGUAGCAAACAGGAUUAGAUACCCUGGUAGUCCACACCGUAAACGAUGAUUACUAGGUGUUGGAGGAUUGACCCCUUCAGUGCCGCAGUUAACACAAUAAGUAAUCCACC